This 1207-nucleotide long non-coding RNA is filed under the name Homo sapiens (human). RNAcentral's name for it is "HSALNT0269606". Lineage: Eukaryota; Metazoa; Chordata; Mammalia; Primates; Hominidae. The record is from RNAcentral.
AUUCCAUGCAGCAGGGCAACACUAAUAAAAGCUUAGAGAAGAGAAAGAGAGAAACAAGAGACAAAGGGACAUUCCAGAUGUCGUUCAGACAUCUGUGCCAGACACCUGUUAAGUGCUGCCCACGUGGGUCAGUGUGGCCAGAGGGCUGAGAGCAAGGGCGUUUCGGCAGGAUCUGAAAUCACCCGGAUGCCAGGACUCAGAGCCCAUAGCCUGUGUGAAAUUUGCUGGACAGGGCUUUGUUCCAAGAGCAGCAGGAAAACAUUUUGUUGCAUGCUUUGGUGCAGGUGAGAAGUGACCUGUGGUUCUGAACAGUUUAAGAUGUAGAAUGAAUGGGAAUGGACAACUAAAAAUAUUCCCUGGGAGGAGGGGAGAGGGGAUCAGCGCAGGAGCUCAGGUUUCUGCCGCGAGCAAGCAACACCAGAGAGGGAGCUGCUGUGGGGAGGAAGACACUGCGUUCCAGGUGCCCACAGGACUUUCAAACAAAUGUGGCCAGGAGAGAGUUGGAACUGUGGGUCCGGGACUCAAGGGUGGGUUUGGGCUGGAGAACAGUUUGGGGGAGUCAUCAACCCACAGACAUGUCAAGGCUACUGGACCUCUUGCCUACCAUCAUCCCUUUCCCUUCCAGUAGGAGCACCUGGAUUUUCUUCUCACCCCACCCCCAUCAGCAUGCUCAGUCCGUGUGGUCCAGGCUCAACCUUGUGGUAAAGAACCUUUGCAUUUAUUUUCUGCUGCUCAAGAAUACCAGCUCUUUGAGGAAAAGGACUUUGGUUGUUUCAUUCCGUGCCUAUCGCCAGCUUCCAAAACACUGCUCAGCACACAGUAGGUGCUCACCAUUUGUUGGAUAAAUAAAUAAACAAUGAGAUCAGGCUGUGAAACCAGGGGAAUCUAGGCUGGGAUUCUGCCCCACCCUCCUUCCAGCCACGUGACCUUGGAUGACCAAGUGAUAUGGUUUGCUGUGUCCCCACCCAAAUCUCAUCUAGAAUUGUAGCUCUCAUAAUUCCCACGUGUUGUGGGAAGGACCCGGCAGGAGAUAACUGGAUCAUGUGGACGGUUUCCCCCAUACUGUUCUCGUGGUAGUGAAGAAGUCUUACGAGAUCUGAUGGUUUUAUAAGGGGAAACCCCUUUUGCUUGGCUCAUUUUCUCUCUUGACACCACCACGUAAGGAGUGCCUUUCGCCUUCCACCAUGAUUGUGAGGCCUCCCCAGCC